This 253-nucleotide ribosomal RNA is filed under the name uncultured bacterium. RNAcentral describes it as "partial 16S ribosomal RNA". It matches the Rfam family "Bacterial small subunit ribosomal RNA", at positions 524 to 776 of the family's 1533-position model. The record is from RNAcentral.
UACGUAGGCAGCAAGCGUUGUUCGGAGUUACUGGGCGUAAAGGGUGUGUAGGCGGUUGUUUAAGUUUGGUGUGAAAUCUCCCGGCUCAACUGGGAGGGUGCGCCGAAUACUGAAUGACUCGAGUGCGGGAGAGGAAAGUGGAAUUCCUGGUGUAGCGGUGAAAUGCGUAGAUAUCUGGAGGAACACCGGUGGCGAAGGCGGCAUCCUGGACCGACACUGACGCUGAGGCGCGAAAGCGUGGGGAGCGAACAGG